AUUGAACGCUGGCGGCAUGCCUUACACAUGCAAGUCGAACGGCAGCACGGGAGCAAUCCUGGUGGCGAGUGGCGAACGGGUGAGUAAAGUAUCGGAACGUGCCCAGUCGUGGGGAAUAACGUAGCGAAAGUUACGCUAAUACCGCAUACGAUCUAUGGAUGAAAGCGGGGGAUCGCACGACCUCGCGCGAUUGGAGCGGCCGAUAUCAGAUUAGGUAGUUGGUGGGGUAAAGGCUCACCAAGCCGACGAUCUGUAGCUGGUCUGAGAGGACGACCAGCCACACUGGGACUGAGACACGGCCCAGACUCCUACGGGAGGCAGCAGUGGGGAAUUUUGGACAAUGGGCGAAAGCCUGAUCCAGCCAUGCCGCGUGCAGGAUGAAGGCCUUCGGGUUGUAAACUGCUUUUGUACGGAACGAAAAGGUUUGGCCUAAUAAGCUGAGCUCAUGACGGUACCGUAAGAAUAAGCACCGGCUAACUACGUGCCAGCAGCCGCCGUAA
Molecule: ribosomal RNA, 500 nt
Filed under: uncultured bacterium
Lineage: Bacteria
Description: partial 16S ribosomal RNA
Rfam family: Bacterial small subunit ribosomal RNA
Source: RNAcentral